RNAcentral lists this ribosomal RNA (399 nucleotides) under Triticum aestivum (bread wheat). Its description in RNAcentral is "partial small subunit ribosomal RNA". Lineage: Eukaryota; Viridiplantae; Streptophyta; Magnoliopsida; Poales; Poaceae. The record is from RNAcentral.
AUGUCUCUAAUUCUUGCAGUACUACUUGCCAUUUAUAGGAGGCAUAGCAAGCGAUCAAGAAAAGCAAGCGGGACAUCGUACCAAGCCGUUCUCGUUGCAGUGGCCGCAGCAGCUGGUGCGUCCUUCCUCCACGAAAACCUUGCGGGAGCCAGCGCAGGCGGGGCAGGGCACGAAGCGGACGCCCCCGCACGCGUCGCAAACGAAGGCCGGGUCCUGCCCCGCGGUGCCUUCGAGGAGGCGCCGCAGCUCGCCCGCUUCGUGCAGCUGCCUCGCCUCUUCGGCGCCGCCGACGAGCCGGCCCUGACGAAGAGCUGUGUUAGCGGGCAGCUGCUACACAUCAUCCGACUGAUUUCCUGGGAAAUCAGUCGGGUCCGUAGCCGUUCGAUCCAUCGCGCCUAA